RNAcentral lists this ribosomal RNA (502 nucleotides) under uncultured bacterium. Its description in RNAcentral is "partial 16S ribosomal RNA". It matches the Rfam family "Bacterial small subunit ribosomal RNA", at positions 29 to 507 of the family's 1533-position model. The record is from RNAcentral.
AGCGAACGCUGGCGGCGUGCCUAACACAUGCAAGUCGAACGUGAAAGGGAGCAAUCCCAAGUAAAGUGGCGUACGGGUGAGUAACACGUAGGUAAUCUACCCCAGAAUCUGGAAUAACCGGCCGAAAGGCUGGCUAAUACUGGAUAGAGCGACGGUAUCCGUAAUUGGGUUUUUCGGGAAAGGGAGCCUGUAAAAAGGCCUUCGUUCUGGGAUGAGCCUGCGUCCCAUCAGCUAGUUGGUGAGGUAAAAGCUUACCAAGGCAAUGACGGGUAGCUGGUCUGAGAGGACGAUCAGCCACACUGGAACUGAAACACGGUCCAGACUCCUACGGGAGGCAGCAGUGGGGAAUCUUGCGCAAUGGACGAAAGUCUGACGCAGCAACGCCGCGUGAGUGAAGAAGGCCUUCGGGUUGUAAAGCUCUGUCGAGUGGGACGAAAAUGCUUGGAGUUCACAGCUCCAGGAACUGACGGUACCACUAAAGGAAGCACCGGCUAACUCCGUG